AACUUCCGGUCCCACUGCCAGGCGACAGGCUUCGUGGCCGAACACCGAGCGUUCCGGAGCCGGGGAGGCUGCCGGGGAAAAGGAGCGGAGCCAGGUAGUGAUUCCUCAGCAGCCUGUGGAGUGAAGGAGAGAAGACAGAAGGAAAAAUUAUUAACAAUGCUAUAAGCCUUUUCUUCUCCCCCAAUCCAAUCCAGAUAAGGCUAGUAUAGCCCCAACACCCAGCAGAGCCCCUGCAGCUGCCCAGUAUCCAGAAGGAGUGCUGCCAUUAGAAAAGUGAGGUGUGCGCCUUUGGAGAUG
Molecule: long non-coding RNA, 297 nt
Organism: Antechinus flavipes (yellow-footed antechinus)
Lineage: Eukaryota; Metazoa; Chordata; Mammalia; Dasyuromorphia; Dasyuridae
Exons: 3
Source: RefSeq, a predicted model, not a curated record